CUAUUAAAAAAUACAAUGGGUAUGCAAAAUUAAUCAACAAACACAAGAAUUCAACUAAAUUACUUGUCUUGAAUUAAAAAUAAAUAAAAAUAGGGUUCAUCUUCAUCCAAUAUAUGAGAGGAAUUUAGCCUAACAUAAUGUUGGAAUUUAAACACACAAAAAAGGAAAGACAUUACAGAUAAAUUGACGGAACGUGAUUAAUUCCACAAAUUUGCUCAACUUUUGCGCGUGUAUGUUGAUAAUUCCUAGGCAGCCAUCCACUUGUAUGUGUGUGUCUAAUUCCCAGUUGGCGUGUAUGUAUAUAAUUCCGGCCAAAACUCUCCUCCUGCCCAAUUGCCGUUUAUUGAUACGUGUGUAUAUAUAUAAAAAAAUCAGCCCACUUCUUCCCUGAAUUCCUUCUGCCGGCCACCAAUUUGUAUGUAUAUAAAAUCUGAUUUAGCCACACCUUUAUGUAUCUGAAUUCCUCCUUUUUGUGCUUUUUGUCUAUUUUUUUUCCAGCGAACUUUCUGCCUUUUUCUCUCCCAUGGUUGACGUGUGAUGUGUAUCUUCCUUCCACCAGUUGGCUGCUCGUACAUUAAAGGUAGCCGUCCAACUUCCUUUCUCCCCCGUAUACGUGAUGUGUGUGUGUGUGUAUAUAUAUAAAACAACAGCCGGC
This 655-nucleotide long non-coding RNA is filed under the name Olea europaea (common olive). RNAcentral describes it as "long non-coding RNA (OEUR_LNC011491)". Lineage: Eukaryota; Viridiplantae; Streptophyta; Magnoliopsida; Lamiales; Oleaceae. The record is from RNAcentral.